Molecule: ribosomal RNA, 268 nt
Filed under: uncultured bacterium
Lineage: Bacteria
Description: partial 16S ribosomal RNA
Rfam family: Bacterial small subunit ribosomal RNA
Source: RNAcentral
GUCCUGGCUGUAAACGGUGCACGUUUGCUGUAAGAGGAAUCGACCCCUCUUGUGGCGAAGCUAACGCGAUAAACGUGCCGCCUGGGGAGUACGGUCGCAAGAUUAAAACUCAAAGAAAUUGACGGGGGCCGUGCACAAGCGGUGGAGUAUGUGGCUUAAUUCGAUGCAACGCGAAGAACCUUACCUGGCCUUGACAUGCACGUAGUAGGAGCCUGAAAGGGUAACGAACCCGCAAGGGAAGCGUGCACAGGUGCUGCAUGGCUGUCGU